This 505-nucleotide ribosomal RNA is filed under the name uncultured bacterium. RNAcentral describes it as "partial 16S ribosomal RNA". It matches the Rfam family "Bacterial small subunit ribosomal RNA", at positions 28 to 507 of the family's 1533-position model. The record is from RNAcentral.
GACGAACGCUGGCGGCGUGCCUAAUACAUGCAAGUAGAACGCACAGUUUAUACCGUAGCUUGCUACACCAUAGACUGUGAGUUGCGAACGGGUGAGUAACGCGUAGGUAACCUGCCUGGUAGCGGGGGAUAACUAUUGGAAACGAUAGCUAAUACCGCAUAAUAUUAAUUAUUGCAUGAUAAUUAAUUGAAAGGUGCAAUUGCACCACUACCAGAUGGACCUGCGUUGUAUUAGCUAGUAGGUGAGGUAACGGCUCACCUAGGCGACGAUACAUAGCCGACCUGAGAGGGUGAUCGGCCACACUGGGACUGAGACACGGCCCAGACUCCUACGGGAGGCAGCAGUAGGGAAUCUUCGGCAAUGGACGAAAGUCUGACCGAGCAACGCCGCGUGAGUGAAGAAGGUUGUCGGAUCGUAAAGCUCUGUUGUAAGAGAAGAACGGGUGUGAGAGUGGAAAGUUCACACUGUGACGGUAGCUUACCAGAAAGGGACGGCUAACUACGUG